CUCAAUACAUCGUCUUCUCCAAAGUCGCAGCCACCAAAAUCUAGGGUUCGUGUUUUGCUUAAAUCGUCAAGACCAGUUACGUUCUUCUUCCUUCUUUGACACCAAAGCGUGGUUCUGUAGCACCAAUGGUUCGUCUCUGUGAUCCCGACUCUUAUAUCCGCUCAGUCUGCAUUGUGGCUGUGUCGGCGAUCUCUUCCCAAUGCACAGAUCAUAGUGGCGUUGUGUCUUGCAGCGGCGAUUGAUGAUGUGGAGGAUCCGGUUCGGUUAGGCAUGUGUUUCUUCCUAGGCUGAAGAGAGGUGAUGAAUCAGAAGAUGAACAGACCUGACUUUGUAGGUAUCAUAAUUUUCCAAGAUCUGUAGUCGUAUUGUAAUUUUUUCUGGAUUCGUAGUUCACUAAACAACUUACUAGAUCAUUGGCCCAGCGUUAAUUGGAAAGUAUCCAACUCAGCAUACUGCUAUUGACAAGUUCAUGGUCUAUAAACUGAUAAAAACGAGUGGGAGUGGUGUAAUCAAAAGGUGAUUCAAGGGAAAUUCAUGUUUUAUGUAUUUACUCAAUAGUGAAAGAUGAUUUUAAUAGGUUAGAAUAUUGCAUGUUUUGAACUCUGUAUGUGAUUCUGAUAUUCUAAGAAUGUAGGAUAUUGACUUUAUCUGCACCAAAAAGGUCACCGGUAUCAAGAUGUAAAAAGAUGGUGUUACGUUUCUUGCUCCAACUGUACCAAGAAGUUUCAACGGACUGUCUCAGCCUUUUCAGUGUGCACUGCAACAAUACUAAUGUUGUUGGUGUCGUCCGAGAUGUAUCUAUAUAGCAUGUUAUUUCCAUUCAUUGCACUGAAUGUCCACACACACGUAGUUACCCUUGACACUUAAUACAUGUUUUCUGACUUCUAGAUAUCGUGUGGAGAUGACCAUUGCUGAUGAUACUGCUGAUGGUCUAUUUGUUAGUUCGAUGGGAUAAUGACAAAACUACAUAACAUCAUAACCUAUGAAACUGGUCAUCUAUUGGCUGGAGAGGGUGUGAACCCGGAGGAGACUCAGGUCCCCCCUUUUAUUGCACACAUAGUAGUCAAGACCUACACGUUCUAGGUCAAGGUUAGUACCUACAACUUCACAGCGAAUCAUCAAGCUUUCACAAUCUCAAGCAUCCUUAGCGAAGGUGACCGUAUGCCACUCUCUGCCUUUUGUUGACGAUGGAGCAACGAUGACAAUGGAGAUGAUAUAUGCUUGGUGCCAACUCAGUACCUGCUAAGGUGGACAUUGGUGGUAGUAGUUUUCAGGAAGCAUCAACUACAUGAGCAGCUCCAAGUGGUGUCAGACACAAAGAAGCAUCCAGCGCAAGCCGCUUACAAAAUGGCCAAGAAAACACGCAUGGCAUAGGUUAAGAUAGUGAGAGCAUUAGACGCAGUAUUUCCUCUUUGAACAAUGCUAAUGCAUCAAUAUUUUUUUGAACAAGUUUGUUUUUUGUUUCCCUCCUUUUGGGUAAUCUAUGUUUGGUUCAGACGAUUUUUAUAAAAAUGUCUGAGCUUUAAUUGGUUUGUAUAUUUAGUACCAUACAUCAUUUAAUUACUAAGAUUCGGUUU
Brassica oleracea var. oleracea is the source of this 1577-nucleotide long non-coding RNA. RefSeq lists it as uncharacterized. The record is from RefSeq and is a predicted model, not a curated record. NCBI's taxonomy places the organism in Eukaryota, Viridiplantae, Streptophyta, Magnoliopsida, Brassicales, Brassicaceae. The transcript has 4 exons.